GGGAAUCUGUGAUGUACGAGUUAUCCCACUUUAGUGUUGACCGAACAUUUUUAUUGAUAUCUUGGGAUCCGUCCGGUGUUAAAGUUAGUAACACGCCUUUUCACUUGGUAGUUCGAUACUUUGACCGUGGAGCCCACCUGCUUGAACUUGCGGGAUCAAUACUCCGGGACAAGAAACGGCAUCAACGGUAACCCA
This 195-nucleotide non-coding RNA is filed under the name Enterococcus sp. RNAcentral describes it as "6S RNA". It matches the Rfam family "6S / SsrS RNA". Rfam says of the family: E. coli 6S RNA was the first non coding RNA to be sequenced, but its function was unknown until recently. It consists of 184 nucleotides that fold into an extended hairpin structure with a large single-stranded internal bulge. The record is from RNAcentral. RNAcentral also lists the same sequence under 1 other name. Lineage: Bacteria; Bacillati; Bacillota; Bacilli; Lactobacillales; Enterococcaceae.